AUGGCUGGAUAUACCACAUGGAUUCAUCAUGGAGAAAGUAUGCGGCCCUCCGAAACAACUUCAGGUCCUAGUUCACAGUUUGAAGAAUAUGCUGAUAGUGAUGAGAUGGAUGAGAUGCUACUGGAAGGAUUCGGGAUGUAUGAUACUCGUACUUUAGGAGAGGAGCAAGAGUCUGAAGAUGACUUGGACGAUGAUGCUGAAGCAUACUAUAGAUUAGUUAAUGAUGGGCGCCAAGAGCUGUACCCAGGUGGAGUCGCUUCGGAGCGCCUUGCUCAAGUUGAAGCUGAACUACAUGCUGCUAAACAAAAGAACAUGGAGCUUCGGCAUGUGGUGCAUACUCUGGUGGCAAAUCAAACUUCAAUAAUGGCCAAGAGUGAGAGAAUGCAAGAACAGUACAAUGAGCUAAAAAGUUUGAUCAUAGCUUCUAGGGGGUCUGUUGAAAUGGGAGAGAUUCCAGAAAAGGAGCUUCCAAAUAAAGAUCCUUCUAAGGACUUGGAAAACAUGAAUGACGAAGAACAAGCAACUUCACUUUCAUAUACUACCAAGGCAUCCGAGGCAAUGGCUGCUCCAAGGCAUCCAGAUAAGGUGAAGGCAACCCAACUAGAAUCAAGGAUAACAGAAUCAGCACUACCAAGUCUUGCGCCUGUGCCAAAACUGAAGAAGACAAAGACAACUAAACAUAAGAAACCAGGAAUAUUUCAAACACCACUCCAAAAGGGGCCAAAGGACGAAUUAAAAGAUACCAUAAAGUGUGGCAUGGAAGUUAGUUUGACGUCACCAAACAGUGCAAGUGUGGUGGCAAUGGGAACCAUUCAGAAAACUGAUAGAAAAGCUAAAGCUAUUGAUGGUCAACCACUAGCUGAUUGUGUUGAAGUACUUGUCAACAUCGUGCUCAAAGAAACAACUGAGCUGCCUCGUGCACAAGGGAAAAUAAACAGGCUAGGAAAUGCCCAAGCUAGGUGUAUUCCAUGGCCACGCAAAAAUAUUAUGCAAACAGACCGUACUACCGUGUUGCAUUCUAAGGUUUCUAGUGUUUGUAGUCAGAUGUCUUUCAACAAUAGUGAGAAUGUGGAUCCCAACAAAACAACUACUGGAACUCAGGUGACCAACCAUCAGACUGGUUGCAGUACUUCAGAAGGUGUAGUGAGGAAUACACUGAAGAGAAAGAAAGUUUCUGAGACAACAAGAAUGAAAAAAGGUACUCAAGCAAUCUCUGCUACAACCGGAAACAACAUACUUAGGAAUUCGGGCAGGGAAACAUGA
RNAcentral lists this ribosomal RNA (1263 nucleotides) under Triticum aestivum (bread wheat). Its description in RNAcentral is "partial small subunit ribosomal RNA". The record is from RNAcentral. Lineage: Eukaryota; Viridiplantae; Streptophyta; Magnoliopsida; Poales; Poaceae.